This 433-nucleotide ribosomal RNA is filed under the name uncultured bacterium. Its description in RNAcentral is "partial 16S ribosomal RNA". It matches the Rfam family "Bacterial small subunit ribosomal RNA", at positions 29 to 507 of the family's 1533-position model. The record is from RNAcentral.
AGCGAACGCUGGCGGCAGGCCUAACACAUGCAAGUCGAACGAACUCUUCGGAGUUAGUGGCGGACGGGUGGGUAACACGUGGGAACGUGCCUUUUGGUUCGGAAUAACUCAGGGAAACUUGUGCUAAUACCGAAUGCGCCCUUCGGGGGAAGGAUUUAUCGCCAUUAGAGCGGCCCGCGUCUGAUUAGCUAGUUGGUGAGGUAACGGCUCACCAAGGCGACGAUCAGUAGCUGGUCUGAGAGGAUGACCAGCCACACUGGGACUGAGACACGGCCCAGACUCCUACGGGAGGCAGCAGUGGGGAAUCUUGCGCAAUGGGCGAAAGCCUGACGCAGCCAUGCCGCGUGAAUGAUGAAGGUCUUAGGAUUGUAAAAUUCUUUCACCGGGGACGAUAAUGACGGUACCCGGAGAAGAAGCCCCGGCUAACUUCGUG